This is a long non-coding RNA of Quercus lobata, 1011 nucleotides long. RefSeq lists it as uncharacterized. The transcript has 4 exons. Lineage: Eukaryota; Viridiplantae; Streptophyta; Magnoliopsida; Fagales; Fagaceae. The record is from RefSeq and is a predicted model, not a curated record.
UUCCACGAGUCUAAAAACAAAAGCAUCCGUUGUUUCCAUUCGUUAAACACAAACAACCAAAAGAAAACCCUUCCUUGCCGAUCUUCUCUGCAACAGAGUGCAAACUUGCCCACUCAGAUUUCUGCCACCAAGUCAGUUUAGAGUCACAAGAGAACGAUUGUUGCAUCGUUUGAAGAUUCUUUUAAUAACCAUUUGGAAUAAGCCGAUACAGAAGGAGAGAGGAUGAUAGAGAGACGUUGCGAUACAUAGGCUACAGUUCACCGAUCAUAGUGAUUGAGGCAUUGCAUUAGAAUGAGUACCAACAAUUUUGAAAGUUAGCGUAGAGAGGCGAUGGAAUAUUUUUGGUUGUUCGCUCUCUAUUCCGCUUCUUCUUUGCAACACCAUAUACCUAAGUUUAAGCAUAACAUUGUUAAUUAUCCUCUUCAAAUACUUUGUCUUCUCCAAAUACAGUUUCUGUUGUCUGUAAUUUACCACAAUUACUUUUCCUUGGCACCUGAAUUUUUCAAUAUUUAUACUCCUAAUCAUUAAAACCCGCUGAUCCCCACUUUAUUAAUAAAAAAUAAAAAUAAAAAUAAAAAACUUAGAAAGAGAGCCCAUAACCAUUAAUAAACUUUAAACAUAGAACAAAAUGAGAUAAAUGAAGAGAGAGGGCGAUAGAAAUCUGAAGGUCAGCCCCUCUGUCAAGCCAACUUCCUGCCAAUGUGUACCCUUCCACCACUGACUCGCCAGGACUACUAACAGAACGGAAUUGAAGUCGGUGUUGUGACUAGCAAAAGAAACAGGAUACGCUCUACACGCCUUAGCGGCAGUGCAUCCCAAGUGGCAACUACAUCAGGUCUCUCUGACUCACAGAUUCCACCCUCAUCAAAGCCCUGCUGAUUGCAAUGCUGAAUAGAGAAUGUUUUUGGCUGAAGUGCUGUAUGUCUUCUUUCCUUGGUUUGGAUGAAAUCAGAUUAUUUUUACAGUAAGUGUAAGAUAACCUGGCUGUUUUUAUUUUUAUUUUUUUUAAUU